AUACGAAGGGUGCAAGCGUUACUCGGAAUUACUGGGCGUAAAGCGUGCGUAGGUGGUUGUUUAAGUCUGUCGUGAAAGCCCUGGGCUCAACCUGGGAAUGGCGAUGGAAACUGGGCGACUAGAGUGUGGCAGAGGGUAGUGGAAUUCCUGGUGUAGCAGUGAAAUGCGUAGAGAUCAGGAGGAACAUCCGUGGCGAAGGCGACUUCCAGGGCCAACACUGACACUGAGGCACGAAAGCGUGGGGAGCAAACAGGAUUAGAUACCCUGGUAGUCCACGCCCUAAACGAUGCGAACUGGAUGUUGGGUGCAAUUUGGCACGCAGUAUCGAAGCUAACGCGUUAAGUUCGCCGCCUGGGGAGUACGGUCGCAAGACUGAAACUCAAAUGAAUUGACGGGG
RNAcentral lists this ribosomal RNA (397 nucleotides) under uncultured bacterium. RNAcentral's name for it is "partial 16S ribosomal RNA". It matches the Rfam family "Bacterial small subunit ribosomal RNA", at positions 523 to 918 of the family's 1533-position model. The record is from RNAcentral.